This is a non-coding RNA of Erythranthe guttata (spotted monkey flower), 73 nucleotides long. Lineage: Eukaryota; Viridiplantae; Streptophyta; Magnoliopsida; Lamiales; Phrymaceae. The record is from Rfam.
GAUGGAAUAACCCAGUUGGUUACAGCGUGUGGCUGUUAACCACAAGAUCGGAGGUUCGACCCCUCUUCUAGUG